UAGGACGUCCCCUUCGGGGGCAGAGUGACAGGUGGUGCAUGGUUGUCGUCAGCUCGUGUCGUGAGAUGUUGGGUUAAGUCCCGCAACGAGCGCAACCCUUGAUCUUAGUUGCCAGCAUUCAGUUGGGCACUCUAAGGUGACUGCCGGUGACAAACCGGAGGAAGGUGGGGAUGACGUCAAAUCAUCAUGCCCCUUAUGACCUGGGCUACACACGUGCUACAAUGGACAGAACAAAGGGCAGCGAAACCGCGAGGUUAAGCCAAUCCCACAAAUCUGUUCUCAGUUCGGAUCGCAGUCUGCAACUCGACUGCGUGAAGCUGGAAUCGCUAGUAAUCGCGGAUCAGCAUGCCGCGGUGAAUACGUUCCCG
This 368-nucleotide ribosomal RNA is filed under the name Bacillus subtilis. RNAcentral's name for it is "bacterial SSU rRNA". It matches the Rfam family "Bacterial small subunit ribosomal RNA", at positions 1007 to 1376 of the family's 1533-position model. Lineage: Bacteria; Bacillati; Bacillota; Bacilli; Caryophanales; Bacillaceae. The record is from RNAcentral.